UUAAGAUACUAAGAGCAUACGGUGGAUGCCUUGGCGAUAUCUGCCGACGAAGGACGUGACAAGCUGCGAAAAGCUGCGGAGAGAUGCAAAUAAUCGGCGACCCGCAGACAUCCGAAUGGAGCAAUCCGGCUGUGAUGAUGCACAGCCAUCCAUGCCCAAGAGCAUGAGAAGGGAACCGGGCGAACUGAAACAUCUAAGUAGCCCGAGGAAAAGAAAUCAAACGAGAUACCCCAAGUAGCGGCGAGCGAACAGGGAAGAAGCCCAAACCGGUGAAGGAAACUUUACCGGGGUUGAGGACCAUCAGACCCGCGAAGAACCUUAGCCGAAACUGUUGGGAAACAGUGCCGAAGACAGUGAAAGCCUGGUAGGCGAAAAAGAGAAACGCGGAGAUGGCACCAGAGUACCGCGGGACACGAGAAAUCCCGUGGGAAGCAGGGGGGACCACCCUCCAAGGCAAAACACAGAUAUCGACCGAUAGCGCAUAGUACCAUGAGGGAAAGGUGAAAAGCACCCCGGGAGGGGAAUGAAAGAGAACCUGAAACCGUAUGUUUACAAGCAGUCGGAGACCGCUUAAUAAUAAGGUCGACGGCGUGCCUAUUGAAGAAUGAACCGGCGAGUUACGAAGCCUGGCAAGGUUAAGCAGGAAAUGCGGAGCCGAAGCGAAAGCGAGUCUUAAGAGGGCGCAAGUCAGGAAGCGUAGACCCGAAACCACAGUGAUCUACCCAUGUCCAGGUUGAAACACAGGUAAAAAUGUGUGGAGGACCGAACCUAUAUCCGUUGAAAAGGGUUAGGAUGAGGUGUGGGUAGGGGUGAAAUUCCAAUCGAACGUGGAGAUAGCUGGUUCUCCCCGAAAUAGCUUUAGGGCUAGCCUCAGGGAAAAGAUUGCAGGCGGUAGAGCACUGAUCAGGAGAGGGACCUACCCGGUUACCAAACCCAGUCAAACUCCGAAUGGCUGCAAUCAUACCUGGGAGUCAGACUGCGACUAAUAAGGGCCGCAGUCAAAAGGGAAACAGCCCAGACCAUCAGCUAAGGUCCCUAAUGCCGUGCUAAGUGGCAAAGGAUGUGGCAUUUCAUAAACAACCAGGAUGUUGGCUCAGAAGCAGCCACCAUUUAAAGAGUGCGUAAUAGCUCACUGGUCGAGAGACGCUGCGCCGAAAAUGUCCGGGGCUCAAGCACGGAACCGAAGCUAUGGCAUGAUAGCAAUAUCAUGGGUAGGGGAGCGUUCUUAUAAGGAAGAAGCAUGACCGGAAGGACAUGUGGACAAAUAAGAAGUGAGAAUGCCGGUAUGAGUAUCGAAAAGAAAGGUGAGAAUCCUUUCCACCGAAAGCCCGAGGGUUCCUGAGCAACGAUCGUCGACUCAGGGUAAGUCGGGACCUAAGCCGAGGCGAAAAGCGUAGGCGAUGGACAACAGGUUGAAAUUCCUGUACCGGAUCAAGUCGAUUGAGCGAAGGAGCGACGCAGGAGGGCACAUGAUCGCGCGGCUGGAAGAGCGCGUCCAAGUGCGUAUGUUGCAGCAGAGGAAAACCCCUGCAGCUAAAAGCAGAGACAUGAUGGGGAGUUAAAGGAAACUUUGACGAACUCAUGGAUCCCACACUGCCAAGAAAAACUUCUAGCGAGACAAGAUCCGCCCGUACCGUAAACCGACACAGGUAGGCGGGGAGAGAAUCCUAAGGUGCGCGGGAAAACCCUCGUUAAGGAACUCGGCAAAUUGCAUCCGUAACCUAGGGAGAAGGAUGGCCCCCGGUCAGUGAAGAGCAGAAACGCUCAGAGCUAAAAGGGGCGGCAGAAAAGAGGCCCAAGCAACUGUUUACCAAAAACACAGGUGCCUGCGAAAGCGAAAGCUGAAGUAUAGGUGCUGACGCCUGCCCGGUGCCGGAAGGUUAAGGAGAGAAGUUAGCGAAAGCGAAGCAUCGAACUGAAGCCCCGGUGAACGGCGGCCGUAACUAUAACGGUCCUAAGGUAGCGAAAUUCCUUGUCGGGUAAG
This 1984-nucleotide ribosomal RNA is filed under the name human gut metagenome. RNAcentral describes it as "bacterial LSU rRNA". It matches the Rfam family "Bacterial large subunit ribosomal RNA", at positions 1 to 1980 of the family's 2925-position model. The record is from RNAcentral.